UUGUUUUGAUUGAGAAAUUCGAAAUGAAGUCAUCACAAUAUUAGGUAGCAGGUUUUGUAAAUGAGUUUCGAGAUUUGCGUUUGAGUUCCAGAUUUGAAGUUGGUUUCGAUCCAGAUACCAGAUUUGAAGUCGUUUUGGUUCCAGAUUUUUUUUUUGUGGAGUUUAAAGUGUAGAUUGUAAUUAUAUGAGAUUUGUAUUAGAUUUUGUUCCAAGUAUACUAGAAUUUAGUUCUAGAUUUUUUUCCACUUGUAUCUACAUUUAUUAUCAAUAAUAAUUGAAUUGAUUAA
Long non-coding RNA from Beta vulgaris subsp. vulgaris (sugar beet), 287 nucleotides. RefSeq lists it as uncharacterized. NCBI's taxonomy places the organism in Eukaryota, Viridiplantae, Streptophyta, Magnoliopsida, Caryophyllales, Amaranthaceae. The record is from RefSeq and is a predicted model, not a curated record. The transcript is spliced from 2 exons.